CCUACGGGGGGCAGCAGUCGAGAAUCAUUCACAAUGGGGGAAACCCUGAUGGUGCGACGCCGCGUGGGGGAAUGAAGGUCUUCGGAUUGUAAACCCCUGUCAUGUGGGAGCAAAUUAAAAAGAUAGUACCACAAGAGGAAGAGACGGCUAACUCUGUGCCAGCAGCCGCGGUAAUACAGAGGUCUCAAGCGUUGUUCGGAAUCACUGGGCGUAAGGCGUGCGUAGGCUGUUUCGUAAGUCGUGUGUGAAAGGCGCGGGCUCAACCGGCGGACGGCACAUGAUACUGGGAGACUAGAGUAAUGGAGGGGGAACCGGAAUUCUCGGUGUAGCAGUGAAAUGCGUAGAUAUCGAGAGGAACACUCGUGGCGAAGGCGGGUUCCUGGACAUUAACUGACGCUGAGGCACGAAGGCCAGGGGAGCGAAAGGGAUUAGAUACCCCUGUAGUC
RNAcentral lists this ribosomal RNA (446 nucleotides) under uncultured bacterium. Its description in RNAcentral is "partial 16S ribosomal RNA". It matches the Rfam family "Bacterial small subunit ribosomal RNA", at positions 338 to 795 of the family's 1533-position model. The record is from RNAcentral.